CACGCUGUAAACGAUGGAUGCUAGCUGUUAGGAGUAUCGACCCUUCUAGUAGCGAAGCUAACGCGUUAAGCAUCCCGCCUGGGGAGUACGAACGCAAGUUUAAAACUCAAAGGAAUUGACGGGGACCCGCACAAGUGGUGGAGCGUGUUCUUUAAUUCGACGUUAAGCGAAGAACCUUACCAGGGCUUGACAUCCUUGGAAUCUCUGCGAAAGCAGAGAGUGCCUUCGGGAGCCAAGUGACAGGUGU
RNAcentral lists this ribosomal RNA (247 nucleotides) under uncultured bacterium. RNAcentral describes it as "partial 16S ribosomal RNA". It matches the Rfam family "Bacterial small subunit ribosomal RNA", at positions 796 to 1041 of the family's 1533-position model. The record is from RNAcentral.